This 3707-nucleotide unclassified non-coding RNA is filed under the name Hevea brasiliensis (rubber tree). Lineage: Eukaryota; Viridiplantae; Streptophyta; Magnoliopsida; Malpighiales; Euphorbiaceae. The record is from RNAcentral.
AAGAAGGAAAAAUGUUCUAUUAUAUUAUAUUUAUCAUAAUAUAAAUAUCUUCAGAUACUCAAGACUUGAAAUUGAAACGUUAUUCUAAGCCGUAUGUUUAGGAAGCAUCAUUCAUUUCAUUUUCAGGUACAACAGUUACUCGCAUCAACACGUGUCCCACCUAUGCCCUUUGACCAAAGUGGCAGGAGCAAAAGCCUUUGCUCGAUCCCUCUCGGACUGCAGCUUCCGCAAAAUCCCUAUCUAUGCUUGCGGUCUCUGUCCCUUUCCCUUUCUCUUGACCCUCUUGAAUGCUUCGCAUCCUCUUCCCACUCUGCUGGCGGUGGGGGCGAGGGCUCGUACCUCGAUGGCUUCCUCUUGAAAUGCCUUUCAUCAUCACUCGACUCGUAGUCCAUGGCUGCAGCACUGCUAUUCUUCUUGCCUCCACCACCAGCGGACACAGAUGUGACCUUCACAGAGGACGAUUCAUGGUAUCCAUUAGCUGAUGACGAAGAUUUGUGAUGAGCAGAUGUUGCUGAGGGACCACCAGCUACCGCCGCAGGGGCUUCACCUGAGGAAGAGAGCUUGCGCUUCUUUGUGGUGAGCUCUUCUUCUGGAAAGCUAAUGCGGGAGAAAACACUUGCUUUCUGUUUGCGGUCUGUUAUUGUUGAUGAAGCUGGUUUAGCAGUGGUCUCAAAUAAAGCUUUUGCAGAGGGUUCAGAACGGUGGUGGUGACGAUGGUGGUGGUCGCGUUCACCUCUGUCUCGGUCUUGGUCAUAGCCGUCAUAAUCGUAAUCACGAUCUCUGUCACGGUCGCUUCUCUCGUGGUCAGAUUUUCUUUUGAGAGGGCGAGGUGGCAGAGGUUCAAGGUUACGAGCUGAGCGCUCAGGGGAGGACCUCUCAGGUCGAUGAUGGUUGUGAAGAUAAGGAUCGCCGCUCAAUGAUUGCGGAAUAGACUUAGAUUUCACUGAAGAAAUAUCACCCCCGCUGCUCACUUCUCUCCCAAAUUCCCGAUCUCUAGGAAACUCCCUUUCAGCUCGCCUCUCAUUUUCACGCCGCCUCCUCAAAUCAGCUUUUCGAGCCUCAAAUUCCUCCCUGCUCAUUGCUGGAGGUCCAGCAUUCAUACCCAUUCCAAAUUCUGCAAGAUCCCUCUGCGGGGGUACAACUGGCAUCAUAUAACCUUGUGCAGCAAAAGGGUCUGGAGGUAUCAUGCCCCCAAAUGGCACAUCCAAAGGGCCCAUUCCAUAACUCAUGAAGGGCAUGGGACUGACAUAAGGAUUCAUAUAACCUUCCAUACCAGGCUGCAUGCCACCCCAAUAAGGAUUAUAGGGGGCGGGGCCAAGAGGCAUCAUAUAACUUUCAGCUGUGAGAUCUUGAGAUACUUUCCACAAAUCGUUUGGAGGCAUGCGAACCUUCUUCUUUUUCUUUUUCUUCCCUGCCUCACCAGGAACCAGCUUCUGCUGCACUUCCUCCUCAGCCAGUGGAGCACUACCUUGUGAUGCUAGCUCCUUCACACUCAUUGAUUCAAGGGUAGCCUCAGAUACAUCAGCUGCUUUGGCAGUCCUCGGUUUUUCAGGGAACUGCUGUAGGAUAACAACAGGCUUCUCCUCAUGCACUGGUUCCUUCCUAUUUGGAUUUGGGGUUUCUGCAUUAUCAGGAGAAGGCUUCUGCUCUUCCUUAGAUGCAGCAGACUGUGUGGGUGAUGGAAUCUUAGGCUGGGGAUUGCGAGCAGACUCCAUAUCUUGAACUUGAAAGGUGCUUCCGGCAUUUUCAGCACUACUGUUACCAGAUUCCAAAAUACGGUUGAUUGUAUCCCUAAGUGUCUUAUUUGGAAGAAGAUCAUCUGCAAGAAUGUUUGUCGCCCCACAUACACACUUUGCCUUUGAGAUGAUAUAAUCUCUUAUACACUUAUCACAAAAGCUCUUGAAACAACAUUUGCUUGUUAGCACAGCAUCUUUCAUAACUUCCUUGCAUAAAGGGCAGUGAAGCUCUGGUGGGAGAUCACCAACAGACCGUGUAGAAGGUAAGCCUUCAAUUUCCUUCUCAAAAGCAGCCUCAUUAGGCUUCAAAACAGCAACUGCACCACUAGGUAAUGCAUAUGAACCAUCAGGGGUUGCCAUCAGCAUUGACUUUGGAAUGCCAGUAGGAGGUUUUACUCUCUUGAUAUCAUAGUUUGGAUCACCAUUUGUAGGACAAUGCUGAAUAAAAUGCCCUGGUACCUUGCACCUGUGGCAUACGUAGCCCUGUGGAGGUGUUUUCUUCUCCAACCCUAAUCGACCAAAGCCACGUCCACCCAUUCUUCCACCCAUACCCCUUCCAAAGCCUCUACCAGGGCCAAAUCCAUCAGCACCUUGACUACAAAUUCGGGUGGAAAUUUAACAAGACUAUAAAAUUAAUUUCCAAACACAAUAACAAUCAAAAUAUUAUCAAAAUACAACAGAAGCACACUAACCGUUGCCAGUCCAAGGCUGGAGUAUCAAUCAAAGCCUUAAUCUUGCUGUCUUCAUCAGCCUUAUUUGUAGGGGGCGCAUCAGGAACCGCAUUGCUAGACUGAACUAGUGGUGCUUCAGGAAUUGCAUAUAAGUCAUUUCCAAACUCAUCCCAUUCUGUGUCUUCAGUAUCUUUCAUGGCAGAUAAAUCGGCGGCCAUAAAAGUACUCUUCUCUAGUGAGGUAUCCUCCACCUUAUUUUCCAUCUUUGGCUCUUGCUCAGUAACAAUAGGCAUGCGAGGUCUUCCUGGAACCCGACGAAUUAACACAGAGGUAUUUUUUGGGAUUAACAUUGCUUCAUCAAGAUAUUCUUCAUUAGUUUGGGCGUUAGUGACCACAAGGUCGAAGUCGGUGCCCCUGCCCAAGUGCUUUGAUUCAAAAAUUUUUUCUUUCAAAGUACCGACCGAAAUAAAUGGACCGUCCAUUGGGAUUGAAUCGUAGUCUCUUGCACUCUUAAACUUGUAAUAUACAGCCAUUGAUUUUUUUACGAAAUUUUAUAAAAAUUGAAAAUGAAAAGAAUAGCACACAAAAAACCUAGUAGAAAUUAUUAGCAAUCAAAGGCCCGCCAAACAAAAAAAUAGGCCUGAUAUUGAACUCAACUCAAAAGCAAAAAUAUAACAGUACAAAGUUGAACUAUUUUUUUUCUCUAUCUUCUUCAAGUACUCAAGAAAGAUCAAUCAAACCAACUAAUGAAGAACUCUUCAAAGCUUCCUUCUUAUUCAAAGUCAUGGAAGUCCAAACAAUCAAAAAUUGCUUUGCUCUAUGCAGAAGAAAGACCAAAAAGAGCUUUACAGCAGCAAUAGGUGCUUGAAAUUCAUAGCACCCAAACAAUUCAUUCGACUCCGGGCAAUCCCAGGGUUUUUCAAUGAGAAUUCGCAGAUCGCAUCAACACGCGGAGAAAACCCCAAUCUUCAAUUUGGAGGGGCCAAAACAAGGGAAUCAAAUAAAACACCACCGAUCCAAAUCUUCAAUAAACAAUCCGAUAAGCCAACACCUGCCAGAGAAAAAUCCUCGCUCGCCGAUUGAAUAAUCUCGAUUAGACAGGUAGAGAGAUAGCGAUCUUGAAGACGCUCCUUUCAGCGAUGAAAAAAACGAAACAUGUCCGUCCAGAAAACAGAGAAAAUGGAGAGAUUCAAAUAAGUUGCUGGAAGAAUUUCAAGUGCCUGAGCAAGAACAGCGAGUGGCAAUCAUCGUGAGCUAGGGUUUGUAGAGCUGAAAAGGACGAGAGAGAGAGAGAGAGAGA